UACGUAGGGACCAAGCGUUGUUCGGAUUUACUGGGCGUAAAGGGCGCGUAGGCGGCAUAUUAAGUCAGCUGUGAAAUCUCCGAGCUUAACUCGGAACUGUCAGCUGAUACUGAUGUGCUAGAGUGCAGAAGGGGCAAUCGGAAUUCUUGGUGUAGCGGUGAAAUGCGUAGAUAUCAAGAGGACCACCUGAGGUGAAGACGGGUUGCUGGGCUGACACUGACGCUGACAGCGCGAAAGCCAGGGGAGCAAACGGG
RNAcentral lists this ribosomal RNA (254 nucleotides) under uncultured bacterium. Its description in RNAcentral is "partial 16S ribosomal RNA". It matches the Rfam family "Bacterial small subunit ribosomal RNA", at positions 524 to 776 of the family's 1533-position model. The record is from RNAcentral.